UGGUGAAAUAAUGUGCCCAUGGGAGCUUACUAGCAUCUGGUGAGGCAGGCUACCUAGGGGAGUGGGUUCUUUAUGGGAUGUGUUGUUCUCAUGGUGGUAGGACAGGCUACUCAUAGGAAUAAUUUACCUAUGAGAGUUUGUUGUCUUGAUAGUAGUGAGACAGACUGCUCAUAGGAAUGGUUUACUUAUGAGAGUGUGUUGUCUUAUGGAUGAUAAGGUAGGCUGCUAAUAAGGAAUCCUAUGAGAGUGUGUUGUCUGAAUGAUGAUAUGGCAGACUGCCCAUAGGAAUGGCC
RNAcentral lists this long non-coding RNA (293 nucleotides) under Elaeis guineensis (African oil palm). Its description in RNAcentral is "long non-coding RNA (EGUI_LNC071976)". Lineage: Eukaryota; Viridiplantae; Streptophyta; Magnoliopsida; Arecales; Arecaceae. The record is from RNAcentral.